RNAcentral lists this long non-coding RNA (278 nucleotides) under Ananas comosus (pineapple). RNAcentral's name for it is "long non-coding RNA (ACOM_LNC005211)". The record is from RNAcentral. Lineage: Eukaryota; Viridiplantae; Streptophyta; Magnoliopsida; Poales; Bromeliaceae.
AGCUUUCCUAAGCCAACUUCGCCAAUUCUGUCGGAUCGUUGGCGCUAACCAUUAAUCCCAAAAGCUCGAGCUGUUAGAAAUACGCAACCAAUUCAUUUAAAGCGUCCAGAUACAGCGCCCACGGGUCUCGAUUAUGACUCGGCCCAGCCAGCCUCACGCCACUUCGACCAUGACUUGGCCCACCCAACCUCACGCCAUUUCGAACAUGACUCGGCCCAACAUGGCCUCCCACCAAAGAGCAAGAUGCUUGCCCAUUUCCGGCGGAGUUACCGGGAUUG